Molecule: unclassified non-coding RNA, 267 nt
Filed under: uncultured fungus
Lineage: Eukaryota; Fungi
Description: sequence contains ITS2
Rfam family: 5.8S ribosomal RNA (bases 1-52)
Source: RNAcentral
AACGCAUAUUGCGCCUUUUGGUAUUCCGAGAGGCAUGUCUGUCUGAGCGUCAUGUCUAGCACUCAAUUCUUCAUUUUGCAUGGAGAUUUGGUCCUGAGCCUUUGGAGUCCUGCAAGGUUUCCAGCUCUAAUUUAGUAAGUGAGCAGUCUUGCUUGAACCCAUGGAACAUGAUAUUAUUUGUUGUUCAAUGGUGUGCAGCAAUGGAUUUGCCUUGAAUUCUAUUUGAAGUUUGGCCUCAGAUCAGACAAGGAUACCCGCUGAACUUAA